UUCAGCCGGCUCUGCCGGUGCAUUCUGGGCCUUCCGGGUCAGCAUCAGUUUGGGUCGAUGGAAAAAGGCGGUGGGAAGGUGGCACCCUCGGGUGUGUUAUAGCCCGCCGUCGUAUGCAUUGGCCCGGACUGAGGACCGCAGCUCGCUACUCUUUGUAGCCGGGGUUCGCCCACGUUCGAGCUUAGGAUG
Molecule: ribosomal RNA, 189 nt
Filed under: Tremellales sp.
Lineage: Eukaryota; Fungi; Basidiomycota; Tremellomycetes; Tremellales
Description: partial large subunit ribosomal RNA
Source: RNAcentral